GGUCUCUCUUCUUCCCGGUGGAUUUUUCAUUUGCUUAUCCUUCCGGUAGUCUCUGAUCGGCGGCAGCAUUUGUGAUCCAGAGACCUAAAAGGACGGUGAAGAAUUCGAGCUGGAGACCCAGGAUACUCCGGCGCCGGGAAACGGCAAGAUCCGAUACCGAUCACCUUCAGCAGCCGAGCUUUUAGAGGCACAGCUCGAUCCACUUCAAAUGGAGAAGACAAUGAAGCGAAACAACAGACAGUAUGGUGGUGAGUCAUUCACCGAUAAGAUCCAGAGGUAUAAAGGUGUGAUCCUUGUGAUUUGCGUUCCGUUGUUUCUCGUUUCUCUAGUGCUUUAUGUAAUGCCGACGCGUUAUCCGUCUGAUUCGAUGGAGUCGUUAAACCGGAAAUUCUCUCCGAAUCUCGGAUCUAUGAAAUAUGCGGUUAUAUUUGAUGCUGGAAGUUCGGGUAGUAGAGUUCAUGUCUUCUGUUUUGAUGAGAAUUUGGAUCUUGUUCCCAUUGGCAAUGAACUCGAACUUUUCGUGCAGAAAAAACCAGGUCUGAGUUCAUUUGCUAGUGAUCCUGUGGCUGCUGCCGAUUCUCUUCUACCACUUCUAAAGGACGCAGAGAAUGUAGUUCCACGCAAUUUGCGCAGUAAUACACCAGUGAGAGUUGGGGCCACUGCAGGUUUGAGGCAGUUGGAAGGUGAUGCAUCUGACAGGAUUCUUCAAGCGGUGAGGGAUUUCCUGAAGAGCAAAAGCAGCUUCAAAGCAAAAGCGGACGCGGUCACUGUUCUUGAUGGAAAUCAGGAGGGUGCUUACCAGUGGGUAAGCAUCAAUUAUUUAUUGGGCAAAUUGGGAAAGAAAUACUCUGAUACAGUUGGAGUGGUUGAUCUUGGUGGUGGAUCUGUGCAAAUGGCGUAUGCCAUCUCAGAGUCAGAUGCCCAAAAAGCUCCAAAGGUAUCAGAUGGAGAGGAUACAUACGUUCAGGAAAUGUUUUUGAAAGGGACAAAAUACUACCUUUACGUUCACAGCUAUUUGCACUAUGGCUUACUAGCAGCUCGAGCUGAGAUCUUGAAGGUUUCUGGUGAAUCUGGAAGUCCUUGCAUCUUGGGAGGCCACCACGGGACAUACAAGUAUGGAGGAGCAGUUUACCCAGCAUCGGCCACGUCUCAAGGUUCAAGCAUGAGUACUUGUAGGGAGGUAGCUCUAAAGGCUCUGAAAAUUAAUGAACCAGCAUGUACCCACAUGAAGUGUACCUUUGGUGGCGUGUGGAAUGGUGGAGGAGGAGAUGGACAGAAGAAUAUGUUUGUUGCUUCGUUUUUCUUUGACAGAGCUGCUGAGGCUGGUAUUAUAAAUCCAAGUUUAGCUGUUGCAAAAGUUCGCCCAGCUGAUUACGAAAGUGCAGCUAAUCGUGCUUGUGCAACUGGACUUGAGGGUGCGAAAUCUGAAUUUCCUCGUGUAGAAGCUGAUAACUUGCCAUACCUAUGCAUGGAUCUCGUCUAUCAAUACACUCUACUUGUAGAUGGAUUCGGACUUGAACCUCAUCAAGAAAUGACAUUGGUGAAAAAAGUUGAAUACAAGAAUUCCUUUGUUGAAGCAGCAUGGCCAUUAGGCAGUGCCAUUGAAGUUGCAUCAUCAUUGAGUUAAACUUAACUGGGAAAUGGAAAGGAUAGGUUCCAUUCAUGCAAUUUUGGGUUUUAAUAGUUUAUGUAUUUUUGACUUGCAGCUUCUGAUAAGCCUAUUAGGUUAAUGUUCUGAAGCAGAAGGGAUUGCCAUAGUCCAUAGCAGGUUGAGAUUCUUUAUUUUUCCCUUUUUUAUUAAAAGGGAAUCAAGAAUAGUGAUAAAUCUGUUUGUAAUCAUGUAUUAUGAGA
This 1851-nucleotide unclassified non-coding RNA is filed under the name Hevea brasiliensis (rubber tree). Lineage: Eukaryota; Viridiplantae; Streptophyta; Magnoliopsida; Malpighiales; Euphorbiaceae. The record is from RNAcentral.